AUUUUAGAAGUAACGAAGUUACAACAUGAACAAUAUAUGUAUAUUAAACUUUCACAAGCAGAAUAUUUUCAGUGGAAAGUAAUGAAGAAUAUAUUAUGAGGCCAGUAUGCAUUGAACACAGAUUGAGCUAUCUACAAGUUUAUGUAUAUUUUAAUAACACAUACAAAUUGAGAUAUUUUGUCAUUGGAAAAUUAUGAUGAUGCAAUAUGGCUGCCCGUAUUGAAAACAGAUUGUGUUAUCUUCAAGUUUGUAAAUCCUUGUUAUAGUGGAAGAG
RNAcentral lists this long non-coding RNA (274 nucleotides) under Mytilus galloprovincialis (Mediterranean mussel). The record is from RNAcentral. Lineage: Eukaryota; Metazoa; Mollusca; Bivalvia; Mytilida; Mytilidae.